CGCUGUGCUGGGUAACCGGUGCAGUGAUUCAGCAGAAGUCAGCAAAAGUCAGCAGAUGGCAUAGUAGCCACAUGCCCAUCGUAAUGGUUGGGACACGGCGACGGCC
Non-coding RNA from Betaproteobacteria bacterium MOLA814, 106 nucleotides. NCBI's taxonomy places the organism in Bacteria, Pseudomonadati, Pseudomonadota, Betaproteobacteria. The record is from Rfam.